GUCCCGUUCGUCCACGCGGUUAGGAUACUUGGUUCUCAACCAGGAGAAGGUGGGUUCGAGCCCCCCACGGGAUA
RNAcentral lists this transfer RNA (74 nucleotides) under Deltaproteobacteria bacterium. RNAcentral's name for it is "tRNA-Glu". It matches the Rfam family "tRNA". Rfam says of the family: Transfer RNA (tRNA) molecules are approximately 80 nucleotides in length. Their secondary structure includes four short double-helical elements and three loops (D, anti-codon, and T loops). Further hydrogen bonds mediate the characteristic L-shaped molecular structure. tRNAs have two regions of fundamental functional importance: the anti-codon, which is responsible for specific mRNA codon recognition, and the 3' end, to which the tRNAs corresponding amino acid is attached (by aminoacyl-tRNA synthetases). tRNAs cope with the degeneracy of the genetic code in two manners: having more than one tRNA (with a specific anti-codon) for a particular amino acid; and 'wobble' base-pairing, i.e. permitting non-standard base-pairing at the 3rd anti-codon position. Lineage: Bacteria; Pseudomonadati; Myxococcota; Myxococcia. The record is from RNAcentral.